ACAGUACAAUCUGAUCAGGCGGCGAUACUUCGUGCAGCCGGGCUGUUAGACAGCAACAGGAAUAUAAAUGCCUGUGGGACAGU
Molecule: non-coding RNA, 83 nt
Filed under: Anaerocolumna aminovalerica
Lineage: Bacteria; Bacillati; Bacillota; Clostridia; Lachnospirales; Lachnospiraceae
Description: NiCo riboswitch
Rfam family: NiCo (Nickel/Cobalt) riboswitch aptamer
Source: RNAcentral